CCUACGGGUGGCAGCAGUGAGGAAUAUUGGUCAAUGGGCGAGAGCCUGAACCAGCCAAGUCGCGUGAGGGAGUACUGCCCUAUGGGUUGUAAACCUCUUUUGUCGGGGAGCAAAAGCCGGACGGGUCCGGCUGUGAGAGUACCCGAAGAAAAAGCAGCGGCAAACUCCGUGCCAGCAGCCGCGGUAAUACGUAGGAUGCGAGCGUUAUCCGGAUUUAUUGGGUUAAAAGGGUGCGCAGGCGGAUUGUUAAGUCAGCGGUAAAAUCGUGGGGCUCAACCCCAUCCAGCCGUUGAAACUGGGGAUCUAGAGUGUGCGAGAGGUAUGCGGAAUGCGUGGUGUAGCGGUGAAAUGCAUAGAUAUCACGCAGAACCCCGAUUGCGAAGGCAGCAUACCGGUGCACAACUGACGCUCAGGCACGAAAGCGUGGGUAUCGAACAGGAUUAGAUACCCGAGUAGUC
This 458-nucleotide ribosomal RNA is filed under the name uncultured bacterium. RNAcentral describes it as "partial 16S ribosomal RNA". It matches the Rfam family "Bacterial small subunit ribosomal RNA", at positions 338 to 795 of the family's 1533-position model. The record is from RNAcentral.